UCUUGGGUCCUUGGUCAAGAAUGUCAACCUGUUAUAAUGUGGCCUCUCAAGAAAAAUCAGGCGCAGUCUCCUGCCCUGUCUCAGUGCUCCCUGGCUGCCGUGGGAUGUUCAGCUGUCCUCUGCCGGCCCCUUCCGCCAUGCAUUCCGCCUUGGAGCCGGCCAACCAGGGACUGAACCCACAGGAAACUGGCCUGCUGGCACCUGCAGUAUCAAACCCCGGAGUCACCACAUCCUGUUUCCAGCUGUCGGAAAGGAAAGGACAUGAUGGUACCAGCCCAGAAGUGGCACGCAUCGUUUCUACUCAUUCAAGGCCUGGAAUGUGCUCACAGGAGCCCGGGAAGAAGGAGAAACAAACGCCAUCAGUAGCGGCGUAGCCGAGGCAGAACGCUCCAUGAGUGCUAAGGGUCCCCCGGCGACUCCUGGGCCCAGGUUCUCGAGCUGCGGCUCUCCAAGGGUGGCUCCCAGCCAGGGACGGUGGGGCCGGGGUGGACACCCUGCCUCACUCCUCUCCCAGCUGAGCCCAUUCCUCCCUAAGGCUUCCGCUGUCACUUACUCUAACUCCCUUUCCUCUUCCUAAAUCUUGAUUUGCUCUUCUUAUAAUAUGAACAAUGAAUUCCUGGUAGGACACCUGGCUCUUGAACCCUGGAUGAUGGUACCAACAAGAGGUAGUUACCAUUGUUAUCCCCAUAUUGUGGAUAAGGAAACUGAAAUAUACAGCAGGUAAGUGACUCACCCAAGGCGCACUAACCAUCGUUAGCCCUAGGCAUGGUAUCAGGUGGUGGCCAACCUAUGGCACGCGUGCCACAGCGGGCUGUUUGUUAUCAUGGAAAGCUCUAAACGUUUGCCAUCACUGGAGCAUAUCCUAGGCCUGACCAAAAUUUUUUCCUCCAAGAUUUGGCCAUGGGGUGAGCUGGGAACAUGUUGCUCUUACCAAACAGAGCUGCCACCUUGAUUUGUCAAGAAAUUCUUGCUUUUACAUUUGCAAAAAUAUCCCUUCCUAUUGUUAUCUUUUAACUUUAUCCUAGCAGCAUUGGUUUUUUCUUUACUUCUGGUGGCUUAAAGUUUUAUAUUUUUAUACAGUAAAACCUGAUGAUCUCUUCCAUAUUGAG
Fukomys damarensis (Damara mole-rat) is the source of this 1109-nucleotide long non-coding RNA. RefSeq lists it as uncharacterized. The transcript is spliced from 3 exons. NCBI's taxonomy places the organism in Eukaryota, Metazoa, Chordata, Mammalia, Rodentia, Bathyergidae. The record is from RefSeq and is a predicted model, not a curated record.